CCCCUGGGGGUCCCCGCAGUCUCCUGGGGGUCCCCGCAGUCCCCUGGGUGCUGUUGAGGUGUCCCCGUGGUCCCCAGGGUGCUGCUGAGGUCUCUCUGUGGUCUUCAGGGUGCCAGGGAGGUGUCCCCAAUGUCCCUUGGGUGCUGGGGACAUGUCCCCAAGGUCCCCUGGCUGUGCCCACAGAUCCCUGGGUGCUGUUGAGGUGUCCCCAAGGUCCCCAGGGUGCCCGAACGGUUUCCUCAAGGUCCCCUGGGUGCUGGGGACAUGUCCCCAAGGUCCCCUGGGUGUCCCCACAGAUCCCUGGGUGCUGGGGACGUGUCCCCAAGGUCCCCAGGGUGCCAUGGAGGUGUCCCCAAGGUCCCCUGGGUGCUGUUGAGGUGUCCCCAAGGUCCCCAGGGUGCCAGGAGGGUGUCCCCAAGGUUCCUUGGGUGCUGGGGACAUGUCCCCAAGGUCUCCUGGGUGUCUCUGUAGUCUCCUGGGUGCUGCUGAGGUGUCCCCAAGGUGCCAGAGAGGUGUCCCCAGGGUGCUGUUGAGGUGUCCCUGUGGUCCCCAGGGUGCUGGGGACGUGUCCCCAAGGUCCCCUGGGUGCCAGGGAGGCAUCCCCAACGUCCCUUGGGUGCUGGGGACGUGUCCCCAAGGUCCCCUGGUUGUCCCCACAGAUCCCUGGGUGGUGUUGAGGUGUCCCUGUGGUCCCCAGGGUGGUGUUGAGGUGUCCCCAGGGUCCCCUGGGUGCUGUUGAGGUGUCCCCAAGGUCCCCAGGGUGCCAGGAGGGUGUCCCCAAGGUCCCUUGGGUGUCAGGGAGGUGUCCCUAAUGUCCCUUGGGUGCUGAGGACGUGUCCCCAGGGUGCUGAGGACGUGUCCCCAAGGUCCCCAGGGUGCUGUUGAGGCGUCCCCAAUGUCCCCAGGGUGC
RNAcentral lists this long non-coding RNA (910 nucleotides) under Anas platyrhynchos platyrhynchos (common mallard). Its description in RNAcentral is "lncRNA (ENSAPLG00000016524.1)". The record is from RNAcentral. Lineage: Eukaryota; Metazoa; Chordata; Aves; Anseriformes; Anatidae.